Molecule: ribosomal RNA, 429 nt
Filed under: uncultured archaeon
Lineage: Archaea
Description: bacterial SSU rRNA
Rfam family: Archaeal small subunit ribosomal RNA
Source: RNAcentral
UACCUGCAGCUCGAGUGGUAACCGCUUUUAUUGGGCCUAAAGCGUCCGUAGCCGGUUUAGUAAAUAUUUGGGUAAAUCGUGAGGCUUAACUUCACGAAUUUCGGAUAGACUGCUAAACUUGGGACCGGGGGAGGUCAGAGGUACUCCAGGGGUAGCGGUGAAAUGUUGUAAUCCUUGGAGGACCACCGGUAGCGAAGGCGUCUGACUAGAACGGGUCCGACGGUGAGGGACGAAGCCCUGGGGCGCAAACCGGAUUAGAUACCCGGGUAGUCCAGGGUGUAAACGAUGUGGGCUUUGUAUUGGAGGUCCCACGUGGGCGUCCAGUGCAGGAGAGAAGUUGUUAAGCCCACCGCCUGGGAAGUACGGUCGCAAGGCUGAAACUUAAAGGAAUUGGCAGGGGAGCACAGCAACGGGAGGAGCGUGCGGUUU